Molecule: ribosomal RNA, 461 nt
Filed under: uncultured bacterium
Lineage: Bacteria
Description: partial 16S ribosomal RNA
Rfam family: Bacterial small subunit ribosomal RNA
Source: RNAcentral
CCUACGGGGUGCAGCAGUGAGGAAUAUUGGUCAAUGGGCGGAAGCCUGAACCAGCCAAGUCGCGUGAGGGAUUAAGGCCCUGCGGGUCGUAAGCCUCUUUUGCCGGGGAGCAGUGGUCCGGACGCGUCCGGACCGGGAGAGUACCCGGAGAAAAAGCAUCGGCUAACUCCGUGCCAGCAGCCGCGGUAAUACGGAGGAUGCGAGCGUUAUCCGGAUUUAUUGGGUUUAAAGGGAGCGUAGAUGGGUUGUUAAGUCAGUUGUGAAAGUUUGCGGCUCAACCGUAAAAUUGCAAUUGAUACUGGCAGUCUUGAGUACAGUUGAGGUAGGCGGAAUUCGUGGUGUAGCGGUGAAAUGCUUAGAUAUCACGAAGAACCCCGAUUGCGAAGGCAGCUUACUAAACUGUGACUGACAUUGAUGCUCGAAAGUGUGGGUAUCAAACAGGAUUAGAUACCCUAGUAGUC